UCUCUCUUCCCCCCAAUCAUUCAUUUAUUUCACUACUCACUCCCUGAAGAACUCUAAAGCAAAGGAACCCUAGCCCUCCAUCGUCGCUGCCGUUCCCAGUUCCUCAGCGCCGCCGCCGUCUCCAGUUCCUCAACACCGCCGCUUCUACCUCUUCCCUGUGUCCGGAAUCCAGUAAAUCUGCAGGUCCUUUUCAGCUCUUCAUCUUAACUCACCAAACCAAAACCCUAGGCUUUCUCUGUAUUUUGCAAUGGUUCUGCCGCAGUGCUGCCGCCGUCCGUGCUGUCGACGCCGUCCGUGGCCUGGCCCUCUCUUGUAGCUCGGCAUCCUGCUUUCCUGUCAUCAGUCCGACCUCCGUGGCUUCUCUGUUUUGUUGGCUUGAAGCAACUUGCUGCCGUAUCGCCGCUCGCCGUCGCCUCCUCGGUAGCCGUCGUCUCCCCGGUAGCCGUCCGUGCCUCCAUCGAAGUUUUCAUUUUGUAGGAAAUUGUUUGAGGUAUAUAAGAAUUAAGAAGAAAGAUUAUCCCAACAGCUACUCUGUUGAUUGAUUAUAGUCCCCCACAAGCUUGAAGAGAGGAACCCUUCAUCAUUGUUUGUAGGUAUUCAGAACCUUAUAAAAAGAAAUGAGCAAUUAUAUAGUUCAGAAAACCCUCCCAGUGGUGUAUCUUUACCUUUUAUUCUGGUACAGGUGAAAUUGAUGCUGAUUUAUAUCAAAGUGGUGGUGGUAGUAGUGGUCUUUAUGCUGCAUCUCUUAAUUCUUCUGCUCAACAGGGUGGGAAUAAAAGUAAAGAUCAUCCCACCGAAGCAGAUUUGCAACAAAUUCUUGCGAAUUUUGAUGAUUGAUAAACCAUGAUGUUGGGAUUUAAUAUUUAGAUAUGCUUUUAUUAUUAUUUAACUUUUGAGUUUAGAUUUUGAUAAGAUCAUAUGUAUUUGGUUGAUGCUAUUUUAUGUAGUGUUUUAAAUUUCGAAGAUAUUUUAAAAUUUAUAUUAGACUAUAAUUAUAUUUUAGG
Arachis stenosperma is the source of this 1004-nucleotide long non-coding RNA. RefSeq lists it as uncharacterized. NCBI's taxonomy places the organism in Eukaryota, Viridiplantae, Streptophyta, Magnoliopsida, Fabales, Fabaceae. The record is from RefSeq and is a predicted model, not a curated record. The transcript is spliced from 4 exons.